This 230-nucleotide ribosomal RNA is filed under the name uncultured bacterium. RNAcentral describes it as "partial 16S ribosomal RNA". It matches the Rfam family "Bacterial small subunit ribosomal RNA", at positions 57 to 305 of the family's 1533-position model. The record is from RNAcentral.
GCAAGUCGAACGAGAAGAUACCUUCGGGUAUUGGAAAGUGGCGCACGGGUGAGUAACGCGUGGGAACCUGCCCAGAGGUACGGGAUAACGGCUGGAAACGGCCGCUAAUACCGUAUGUCCCCUGCGGGGGAAAGAUUUAUCGCCUUUGGAGGGGCCCGCGUCCGAUUAGCUAGUUGGUGAGGUAAUGGCUCACCAAGGCGACGAUCGGUAGCUGGUCUGAGAGGAUGAUC